GACGGGGCCCGCACAAGCGGUGGAGCAUGUGGUUUAAUUCGAAGCAACGCGAAGAACCUUACCAGGUCUUGACAUCCCGAUGCUAUUUCUAGAGAUAGAAAGUUACUUCGGUACAUCGGUGACAGGUGGUGCAUGGUUGUCGUCAGCUCGUGUCGUGAGAUGUUGGGUUAAGUCCCGCAACGAGCGCAACCCUUAUCAUUAGUUGCUACGCAAGGGCACUCUAAUGAGACUGCCGGUGACAAACCGGAGGAAGGUGGGGAUGACGUCAAGUCCUCAUGGCCCUUAUGGGUAGGGCUUCACACGUCAUACAAUGGUCGGUACAGAGGGUUGCCAAGCCGCGAGGCGGAGCCAAUCCAACAAAGCCGAUCGUAGUCCGGAUUGUUCUCUGCAACUCGAGAGCAUGAAGUCGGAAUCGCUAGUAAUCGCAGGUCAGCAUACUGCGGUGAAUACGUUCCCGGGUCUU
This 463-nucleotide ribosomal RNA is filed under the name uncultured Thiobacillus sp. Its description in RNAcentral is "bacterial SSU rRNA". It matches the Rfam family "Bacterial small subunit ribosomal RNA", at positions 916 to 1381 of the family's 1533-position model. Lineage: Bacteria; Pseudomonadati; Pseudomonadota; Betaproteobacteria; Nitrosomonadales; Thiobacillaceae. The record is from RNAcentral.